Molecule: long non-coding RNA, 215 nt
Filed under: Nothobranchius furzeri (turquoise killifish)
Lineage: Eukaryota; Metazoa; Chordata; Actinopteri; Cyprinodontiformes; Nothobranchiidae
Description: lncRNA (ENSNFUG00015014158.1)
Source: RNAcentral
AUGUGUGUACAUAAAGUUAAUACUGGGUCAAGUUCAUUAAUCUGCACUCCGGGAGGGCUCAAGAGUCUGAGACGUCAGGAUCCAUCUGCAGUGGCAACAGCAGAAAGGAGAAGAAGAAGAUGUUUGGCCUGAAAGUAAGAAAGAAGAAGGAUAUCCCAGACCUGGUCCUGGCAAACAAGGGAGCUGUGGGUAAGGCCUGAAAAACAAACACACGC